RNAcentral lists this transfer RNA (69 nucleotides) under Tenebrionoidea sp. 20 KM-2017. Its description in RNAcentral is "tRNA-Gln". Lineage: Eukaryota; Metazoa; Arthropoda; Insecta; Coleoptera. The record is from RNAcentral.
UAUACCUUAGUAUAGGAUGUACUAAGGCUUUUGGAGCCUCAAGAAACAGUUUAAUUCUGUUAGGUAUAG